This 510-nucleotide ribosomal RNA is filed under the name Salmonella enterica. Its description in RNAcentral is "partial 23S ribosomal RNA". It matches the Rfam family "Bacterial large subunit ribosomal RNA", at positions 962 to 1475 of the family's 2925-position model. Lineage: Bacteria; Pseudomonadati; Pseudomonadota; Gammaproteobacteria; Enterobacterales; Enterobacteriaceae. The record is from RNAcentral.
CCGGAGAAUGUUAUCACGGGAGACACACGGCGGGUGCUAACGUCCGUCGUGAAGAGGGAAACAACCCAGACCGCCAGCUAAGGUCCCAAAGUCAUGGUUAAGUGGGAAACGAUGUGGGAAGGCCCAGACAGCCAGGAUGUUGGCUUAGAAGCAGCCAUCAUUUAAAGAAAGCGUAAUAGCUCACUGGUCGAGUCGGCCUGCGCGGAAGAUGUAACGGGGCUAAACCAUGCACCGAAGCUGCGGCAGCGACACUCAGGUGUUGUUGGGUAGGGGAGCGUUCUGUAAGCCUGUGAAGGUGUGUCGUGAGGCAUGCUGGAGGUAUCAGAAGUGCGAAUGCUGACAUAAGUAACGAUAAAGCGGGUGAAAAGCCCGCUCGCCGGAAGACCAAGGGUUCCUGUCCAACGUUAAUCGGGGCAGGGUGAGUCGACCCCUAAGGCGAGGCCGAAAGGCGUAGUCGAUGGGAAACGGGUUAAUAUUCCCGUACUUGGUGUUACUGCGAAGGGGGGACGG